RNAcentral lists this ribosomal RNA (451 nucleotides) under uncultured bacterium. RNAcentral's name for it is "partial 16S ribosomal RNA". It matches the Rfam family "Bacterial small subunit ribosomal RNA", at positions 355 to 799 of the family's 1533-position model. The record is from RNAcentral.
UGGGGAAUUUUGGACAAUGGGGGCAACCCUGAUCCAGCCAUCCCGCGUGUGCGAUGAAGGCCUUCGGGUUGUAAAGCACUUUUGGCAGGGAAGAAACAGCCUGGGAUAAUACCCCGGGCGACUGACGGUGCCUGCAGAAUAAGCACCGGCUAACUACGUGCCAGCAGCCGCGGUAAUACGUAGGGUGCAAGCGUUAAUCGGAAUUACUGGGCGUAAAGCGUGCGCAGGCGGUUCGGAAAGAAAGGUGUGAAUCCCAGGGCUUAACCUUGGAACUGCACUUUUAACUACCGAGCUAGAGUACGUCAGAGGGGGGUAGAAUUCCACGUGUAGCAGUGAAAUGCGUAGAGAUGUGGAGGAAUACCGAUGGCGAAGGCAGCCCCCUGGGAUGAUACUGACGCUCAUGCACGAAAGCGUGGGGAGCAAACAGGAUUAGAUACCCUGGUAGUCCACG